ACACAGCACUGGCAACCAGUGCUACAGGUGAUGGCUCUGGCUGUCCAGCAGCUGUGGGCAGGGUGAGGGCUGGUCUGGUCUUGAGGACUUGUGGCCCCAGGUGGGCUGGCACUGGUAGCAGGGGUAGGGGAGGCACCACAGGACUCUUCCCCAGCAGCUGCCUCUGCUUUCUCCGGGCCAGGGGUUGGUGGCUUCCUGCC
This 200-nucleotide long non-coding RNA is filed under the name Homo sapiens (human). Its description in RNAcentral is "HSALNT0222853". The record is from RNAcentral. Lineage: Eukaryota; Metazoa; Chordata; Mammalia; Primates; Hominidae.